Molecule: transfer RNA, 65 nt
Filed under: Arcos sp. KU 149
Lineage: Eukaryota; Metazoa; Chordata; Actinopteri; Blenniiformes; Gobiesocidae
Description: tRNA-Cys
Source: RNAcentral
AGCCCCGAGGUGUUAGCAUAUUGGAUUGCAAAUCCGAAGAAGCAGAGUAACGUCUGCCGGGGCUU